This is a non-coding RNA of Vicia faba (fava bean), 312 nucleotides long. Lineage: Eukaryota; Viridiplantae; Streptophyta; Magnoliopsida; Fabales; Fabaceae. The record is from the annotation of a GenBank genome assembly.
CUUAGAAUACGAUAUAAAAUAAAUUUUUAUUAUUAUAAAAGUACACAUUCACAAAAACAAAGAGAAAAGAAAAAAAUCAAAAUGAAUGUUUUAUUAUCCUUAAACUCAAGCUCAAGCCUAAUACAUAUUUUAAAACCACACAAACAUCAUCAUAUCCUUCCACUUUCAAAUAGUCAUCAAAGACAAUCUCUUAUAGUACAAUUUUUUGUCUCAUGUAGAGCCACAAAAAGUGUUCCCGUUAAUCAUAAUGAUGAUGAUAGAAACUUGUACAAGAUACUAUGUUUGAGUUCUAUAAACUCAACAAUGGAUUAG